This 497-nucleotide ribosomal RNA is filed under the name uncultured bacterium. Its description in RNAcentral is "partial 16S ribosomal RNA". It matches the Rfam family "Bacterial small subunit ribosomal RNA", at positions 28 to 507 of the family's 1533-position model. The record is from RNAcentral.
GAUGAACGCUGGCGGCGUGCCUAAUACAUGCAAGUCGAGCGAACGGACGAGAAGCUUGCUUUUCUGAUGUUAGCGGCGGACGGGUGAGUAACACGUGGAUAACCUACCUAUAAGACUGGGAUAACUUCGGGAAACCGGAGCUAAUACCGGAUAAUAUUUUGAACCGCAUGGUUCAAAAGUGAAAGACGGUCUUGCUGUCACUUAUAGCUGGAUCCGCGCUGCAUUAGCUAGUUGGUAAGGUAACGGCUUACCAAGGCAACGAUGCAUAGCCGACCUGAGAGGGUGAUCGGCCACACUGGAACUGAGACACGGUCCAGACUCCUACGGGAGGCAGCAGUAGGGAAUCUUCCGCAAUGGGCGAAAGCCUGACGGAGCAACGCCGCGUGAGUGAUGAAGGUCUUCGGAUCGUAAAACUCUGUUAUUAGGGAAGAACAGAUGUGUAAGUAACUGUGCACAUCGUGACGGUACCUAAUCAGAAAGCCACGGCUAACUACGUG